RNAcentral lists this transfer RNA (85 nucleotides) under Myxococcaceae bacterium. RNAcentral's name for it is "tRNA-Leu". It matches the Rfam family "tRNA". Rfam says of the family: Transfer RNA (tRNA) molecules are approximately 80 nucleotides in length. Their secondary structure includes four short double-helical elements and three loops (D, anti-codon, and T loops). Further hydrogen bonds mediate the characteristic L-shaped molecular structure. tRNAs have two regions of fundamental functional importance: the anti-codon, which is responsible for specific mRNA codon recognition, and the 3' end, to which the tRNAs corresponding amino acid is attached (by aminoacyl-tRNA synthetases). tRNAs cope with the degeneracy of the genetic code in two manners: having more than one tRNA (with a specific anti-codon) for a particular amino acid; and 'wobble' base-pairing, i.e. permitting non-standard base-pairing at the 3rd anti-codon position. The record is from RNAcentral. Lineage: Bacteria; Pseudomonadati; Myxococcota; Myxococcia; Myxococcales; Myxococcaceae.
GUCCAGGUCGAUGAAAUCGGGAGACACGCCGCGCUCAGACCGCGGUGGCUUCACGAGCGUGCAGGUUCGACUCCCGCCCUGGACA